This 497-nucleotide ribosomal RNA is filed under the name uncultured bacterium. RNAcentral's name for it is "partial 16S ribosomal RNA". It matches the Rfam family "Bacterial small subunit ribosomal RNA", at positions 28 to 507 of the family's 1533-position model. The record is from RNAcentral.
GAUGAACGCUGGCGGCGUGCCUAAUACAUGCAAGUCGAGCGAACGGACGAGAAGCUUGCUUCUCUGAUGUCAGCGGCGGACGGGUGAGUAACACGUGGAUAACCUGCCUAUAAGACUGGGAUAACUUCGGGAAACCGGAGCUAAUACCGGAUAAUAUUUUGAACCGCAUGGUUCAAAAGUGAAAGACGGUCUUGCUGUCACUUAUAGAUGGAUCCGCGCUGCAUUAGCUAGUUGGUAAGGUAACGGCUUACCAAGGCAACGAUGCAUAGCCGACCUGAGAGGGUGAUCGGCCACACUGGAACUGAGACACGGUCCAGACUCCUACGGGAGGCAGCAGUAGGGAAUCUUCCGCAAUGGGCGAAAGCCUGACGGAGCAACGCCGCGUGAGUGAUGAAGGUCUUCGGAUCGUAAAACUCUGUUAUUAGGGAAGAACAUAUGUGUAAGUAACUGUGCACAUCUUGACGGUACCUAAUCAGAAAGCCACGGCUAACUACGUG